Rhinopithecus bieti (black snub-nosed monkey) is the source of this 3805-nucleotide long non-coding RNA. The record is from Ensembl. Lineage: Eukaryota; Metazoa; Chordata; Mammalia; Primates; Cercopithecidae.
AUGAUAUCUUGCAGUUAAAAAUGGCAUCUUAUUGAGACUAUACCUGCAGAUUAGGAGGCAACUGAAAUGAUGGAUUUUGAAAACUUUAGAAAUGUUACAAUGUGAGGAAUUGUUGAUAAAGACCUUCGUCACUACCUCAACUUACGAUUUCAAAAGGGUUCUGUGGACCAUGAGCUUCAGCAAAUCAUUCGUGACAACCUCUACCUCCGCACGGUGCCAUAAACUAUUCAUUCUGGAGCAACACUUGAUUUGCACCUUGAAAUAGGGAGGAAGUCAAACAAGGAAAUCGUCUUUGUGGGUAAGUUUUUACUGCCCUCUUGGGUUGCUGCUGCACGUUCACCACAUGUGCAUUCAGAUGGAUACCCGAUGUCAAAUGAGCAUAUCAGAAAGAAAAUUGUUUUAUGAGACAGCUCAGGUUUUGGGGAAAAUGGUGAUGUUUUAGGUUAGAAGAAAGGUUCAGGAAGCAUGUUAGGAGUGUAGAUGUAUCAUACGAGGAAUGUGUCAGAUAAUAACUGUCAGACUACUCCAGAGGUUCUUCAAGCUGCAGAAAUUACAAAGGCAGAAAUGAGCAUCCAGGCUCACAGAUGGCUUCUUCUCCUUAGAGUACUUGCUGAUUAACCAUUUUUAACAAAUAUUUCACUUUAGUAGGUCCAAUCAAUAAGCAUUCCAAAAACAUUUGUUGCCAAAUAUGUUAAUGGGCUAUUCCAGAACACGAUUAAGGGACCUUGCUACUCACACCCAGGUACAAUGUUUCAAUCCUUAGAUGACCCCUUCCUAUUACACAUUGGAUAAUAAAGUAGAAUUUUAAAAUUUUGCAAACCACGUAAGGAAACUUUACAUUAAAAUAGUUUUAGCUUCCAAACCCAUCUAAAAGUCUGUAUAUGGGAACCAUACGAAUUUUCUGGGUAGCUGAAGGAUUUGCCAAAAGCAAUUUCAUGAGUCUUUUCUUCAUGGUCACAUAUAAACCAUAAGUCCAGGUGUAAAUGAAUAUCAUCAGGUGUAAAAUAUUUGUUUCAACUGCUUAGGCAAUUAUUUAUGAAAAGAAAAUAGGAACAUUUGUCUUAUGGAAAGCUGAAUGGGGCAGUUAUUUUCAGCAUGACUCACAGUAGGCUUGUAUGAAUGAAUGAAUGAAUGAAUGAAUGAAUGAAUGAAUGAAAAAAUAGAUGGAUGAAAACAGUUUUUCUUGAUGAGAGGACAAUAUAGACCCAUCUAAAGAGACAGAAAAGAAAAGCAGUGCCCACCAAGAAAAACUCUUCCAUUUUAGCUAAAUGUAAGUGUUUCUCCUAGUGUAAUAUGAUGACCACCUGUAUCAGAGUCACUUGGAAAAUAUACACAAAUGGCAGAGUCAAUGACCCCACCGUGAAACUUUUGUUCCAGAAUCUCUGGAGUUGUAAGAUGAGAAGUCUUAACUUUUAACCAGCUCCCCAGGUAUUUUUUAUACCUUUUAGUUUUUCAGAACCAAAAGGUCACACAAUAUUUUCAAGAGGGAGAUAAAUUUGGAAGGGUAGUUUGGGGCCAGAUUUUAGAAAUGUAAAUGCCAGGCAAUGAGAUUUAGGUUUUAUUCAGUGAGUAAGGGAGAGCCAUUGAAAAACUUUAGCAUGAAGGGCACACAAUUCAAAAGAUACUUUGAGAAGUGUAAAUUGCAGGCAUGUGAAAUGUUAGGGUAUUAGAAGAGAAGAAGUAGUCUGGUAGAAUACAAGGCUGUAAGGUCCCUAAUCAGUGUAGAGAAUGUGAUAACAGAAUGGAGGUAAUAGAUUACAAUGUAUUUCAGAAGAAUUCACAAGUGAUUUUCUGAAUAUAAGAAAUGACAGGCCAGGCGCGGUGGCUAACGCCUGUAAUCCCAGCACUUUGGGAGGCCGAGGCGGGCGGAUCACAAGGUCAGGAGUUUGAGACCAGCCUGGCCAAUGUGGUGAAACCGCGUCUCUAUUAAAAAUACAAAAAUUAGCUGGGAGUGAUGGCAGACGCCUGUAGUCCCAGCUACUCGAGAGGCUGAGGCAGGAGAAUUGCUUGAACCUGGAAGGCGGAGGUUGUAGUGAGCCGAGAUCGGGCCGCUGCACUCCAGCCUGGGAGACAGAGCGAGACUCCAUCUCCAAAAAAAAAAAAAGAAAGAGGAAGAGGUCAGAGGUGACUGUGAAAUUUUAAGCCUACCUGAUUAAUGUCAUGAAUUAAAAGAAAAUUUUUGGUUGGAUGAAGAGAUAAGGGGGAAAGUUAAGUUUGGUGAUAUACAUUUGAGUUUAAAGCAGGUUCUUAAAAGUGAAAAAUGGGCAACUGAUAUAGUUUCACUGUAUCCCCACCCAAAUCUCAUCUUCACUUGCAGUUCCCAUAAUCCCCAGGUGUCAUGGGAGGGACCUGGUGGAAAGUGAUUGGAUCUCGUGAUAGUGAGUGAGUUUUCACAAGAUCUGAUGUUUUAGAAGUGUCUGGCAUUUCCCCUGCUGGCACUUCUCCUUUCUGCCACCUCAUGAAGAAGGAUGUAUUUGCUUCCCCUUCCACCAUGAUUGUAAGUCUCCUGAGACCUCCCCAGCCAUGCAGAACUGUGAGUCAAUUAAAACUCUUUUCUUAAUAAAUUACCCAGUCUCAGGUGUUUCUUCAUAGCAGCAUUAGAACAGACUAAUACAGCAACUGAGUCAAAAGCUAACAUCAGACGGGUGUGGCAGCUCACGCCUGUAAUCCUAGCACUUUGGAAGGCUAAGGUGGUGGACCACUUAAGGUUGGGAGUUCAAGACCAGCCUGGCCAACAUGGUGAAACUCCAUCCCUACUAAAAAUACAAAAAAUUAUCCAGGCAUGGUGGUGCACACCUAUAAUCCCAGCCACUUGGGAGGCUGAGGCAGGAGAAUUGCUUGAACCUGGGAGGUGGGAGGUACAGUGAGCUGAGAUCGUACCACUGCACUCCAGCCUGGGUGACAGAGGAAGAUUAAAAAAAAAAAAAAAAAAAGCUAACAUCAAGGUGGGAGAGACAAAGACUCAGUGGCAAGCAUUUUAUUCUAAGAACAGAGGACAGUGUUAACUUUAUACUGUCACUCACAUUAUAUCCACUUGUAUUUAUUCACAGAUUUUUCCCUGUUCUAAAAUUUUAAUAAGAACUUUUCCCUGUACCCCAAAAUUACUUGCCUUUUAUACAGCUACUUUUCCCAUUUUUGAAUUUCGCAAGCGUUGUUUUUAAUUUACAUAAGCAAAUCAUUAUAUCUACAAAUGAAUAGUACUUAUCUUUUCUCAUAAAGACUACUGCGUUUUAGUAGUAUCAUUAUAGUAUAUUGAAAUCCCAGCUGAAGAAACUAACUUUUGCUGAAGGUGGAACUGGAUAUUGAAAAAUAUAGGCAUUUACAAGAGAAAGAAAAGGGAGGAGAUUAUUCCAUGGUGAGAAACCAGCAUAUGGAAAUGUAUGAACACAUGCUUUCAGAAUAAAGCAGCACUAAAAAUGUGUAAGGUUCAUGGCAAUCUGACUUUGCUGAGAGUUUUCAAAGAACAUUGGUGUCUUCAUGUUUUUUAAAGUCUUAAUAAAUACGGAUAUUAACUUGCAUUUUUUAAAACAAUAAUCUGAAUAUAUGUUACAGCAAUGUAAGCUAGUUCAGUUAGAUGAACUACACUCAGAAAAUUUUUGCAAUCAAAGGAAUCAUUUAGAUAGGGAUAUGUGUUAGCAUGGGUCUUCCAAGCAACACACAUCAAAAUGAAGUUAAACAUACAACAAAUGUAUUAGGUGAAUCAACAGUAAGAUAAGAUGAGCAGCCAGCUGGAGAAGACCAGGAGAAUCAUCAGCCUGAAAUGCAUGUCUAAACCCAAGUGAAGAAGGGAGGAAAAGAAAGGGAA